ACUUGCGCAAUGGGCGAAAGCCUGACGCAGCAACGCCGCGUGCGGGAAGAAGGCCUUCGGGUUGUAAACCGCUUUCAGCAGGACGAAAAUGACGGUACCUGCAGAAGAAGGUGCGGCCAACUACGUGCCAGCAGCCGCGGUGACACGUAGGCACCAAGCGUUGUCCGGAUUUAUUGGGCGUAAAGAGCUCGUAGGCGGUUCAGUAAGUCGGGUGUGAAAACUCUGGGCUUAACCCAGAGCCGCCACCCGAUACUGCUGUGACUAGAGUCCGGUAGGGGAGUGGGGAAUUCCUAGUGUAGCGGUGAAAUGCGCAGAUAUUAGGAGGAACACCGGUGGCGAAGGCGCCACUCUGGGCCGGAACUGACGCUGAGGAGCGAAAGCGUGGGUAGCAAACAGGAUUAGAUACCCUGGUAGUCCACGCCGUAAACGUUGGGCACUAGGUGUGGGCCUCAACCAACGAGGUCCGUGCCGUCGCUAACGCAUUAAGUGCCCCGCCUGGGGAGUACGGCCGCAAGGCUA
RNAcentral lists this ribosomal RNA (519 nucleotides) under uncultured Actinomycetes bacterium. Its description in RNAcentral is "bacterial SSU rRNA". It matches the Rfam family "Bacterial small subunit ribosomal RNA", at positions 362 to 896 of the family's 1533-position model. The record is from RNAcentral. Lineage: Bacteria; Bacillati; Actinomycetota; Actinomycetes.